Cryptomeria japonica (Japanese cedar) is the source of this 120-nucleotide small nuclear RNA. RefSeq annotates it as U5 spliceosomal RNA. The transcript has a single exon. The record is from RefSeq and is a predicted model, not a curated record. NCBI's taxonomy places the organism in Eukaryota, Viridiplantae, Streptophyta, Pinopsida, Cupressales, Cupressaceae.
UAGUCCUGGCCGAGGCAUCUGGUUUAAUUACCAAUGUUUCGCCUUUUACUAAACAUUGCAUGGUGUCUCGGUCACUAACUGGACACUAAAGCCCAAUUUUUCUGCCCUCAUUCGAGGGCU